AAAUUGAAGAGUUUGAUCAUGGCUCAGAUUGAACGCUGGCGGCAGGCCUAACACAUGCAAGUCGAGCGGUAGCACAGAGAGCUUGCUCUCGGGUGACGAGCGGCGGACGGGUGAGUAAUGUCUGGGAAACUGCCUGAUGGAGGGGAUAACUACUGGAAACGGUAGCUAAUACCGCAUAACGUCGCAAGACCAAAGUGGGGGACCUUCGGGCCUCAUGCCAUCAGAUGUGCCCAGAUGGGAUUAGCUAGUAGGUGGGGUAACGGCUCACCUAGGCGACGAUCCUAGCUGGUCUGAGAGGAUGACCAGCCACACUGGAACUGAGACACGGUCCAGACUCCUACGGGAGGCAGCAGUGGGGAAUAUUGCACAAUGGGCGCAAGCCUGAUGCAGCCAUGCCGCGUGUGUGAAGAAGGCCUUCGGGUUGUAAAGCACUUUCAGCGGGGAGGAAGGCGAUAAGGUUAAUAACCUCAUCGAUUGACGUUACCCGCAGAAGAAGCACCGGCUAACUCCGUGCCAGCAGCCGCGGUAAUACGGAGGGUGCAAGCGUUAAUCGGAAUUACUGGGCGUAAAGCGCACGCAGGCGGUCUGUCAAGUCGGAUGUGAAAUCCCCGGGCUCAACCUGGGAACUGCAUUCGAAACUGGCAGGCUAGAGUCUUGUAGAGGGGGGUAGAAUUCCAGGUGUAGCGGUGAAAUGCGUAGAGAUCUGGAGGAAUACCGGUGGCGAAGGCGGCCCCCUGGACAAAGACUGACGCUCAGGUGCGAAAGCGUGGGGAGCAAACAGGAUUAGAUACCGGUAGUCCACGCCGUAAACGAUGUCGAUUUGGAGGUUGUGCCCUUGAGGCGUGGCUUCCGGAGCUAACGCGUUAAAUCGACCGCCUGGGGAGUACGGCCGCAAGGUUAAAACUCAAAUGAAUUGACGGGGGCCCGCACAAGCGGUGGAGCAUGUGGUUUAAUUCGAUGCAACGCGAAGAACCUUACACGGUCUUGACAUCCACAGAACUUUCCAGAGAUGGAUUGGUGCCUUCGGGAACUGUGAGACAGGUGCUGCAUGGCUGUCGUCAGCUCGUGUUGUGAAAUGUUGGGUUAAGUCCCGCAACGAGCGCAACCCUUAUCCUUUGUUGCCAGCGGUCCGGCCGGGAACUCAAAGGAGACUGCCAGUGAUAAACUGGAGGAAGGUGGGGAUGACGUCAAGUCAUCAUGGCCCUUACGACCAGGGCUACACACGUGCUACAAUGGCAUAUACAAAGAGAAGCGACCUCGCGAGAGCAAGCGGACCUCAUAAAGUAUGUCGUAGUCCGGAUUGAGUCUGCAACUCGACUCCAUGAAGUCGGAAUCGCUAGUAAUCGUAGAUCAGAAUGCUACGGUGAAUACGUUCCCGGGCCUUGUACACACCGCCCGUCACACCAUGGGAGUGGGUUGCAAAAGAAGUAGGUAGCUUAACCUUCGGGAGGGCGCUUACCACUUUGUGAUUCAUGACUGGGGUGAAGUCGUAACAAGGUAACCGUAGGGGAACCUGCGGUUGGAUCACCUCCUUACCUUAAAGAA
This 1545-nucleotide ribosomal RNA is filed under the name Klebsiella pneumoniae. RNAcentral's name for it is "bacterial SSU rRNA". It matches the Rfam family "Bacterial small subunit ribosomal RNA". The record is from RNAcentral. Lineage: Bacteria; Pseudomonadati; Pseudomonadota; Gammaproteobacteria; Enterobacterales; Enterobacteriaceae.